This is a long non-coding RNA of Austrofundulus limnaeus, 601 nucleotides long. RefSeq lists it as uncharacterized. The transcript is spliced from 2 exons. The record is from RefSeq and is a predicted model, not a curated record. NCBI's taxonomy places the organism in Eukaryota, Metazoa, Chordata, Actinopteri, Cyprinodontiformes, Rivulidae.
GCCCGUCCCAACCGUCUUUGUUUAAAUUGGCCGCUGCAGGAUGAGAGGUGUGUUUGGACCAGGGAGCACUUCAGGUUUCCUUCAUGGUGGCAGUGAGAGCCAUGAGAGAAACAAAGCUGAGCAGAGAGCUCAGGUUUCAUUGAAGUAACACAAGAACAGGGAGCUGAGCUCUUCUAGCCCUCUGUUCCUGUUAGAAAAGAAGAAGAGUCCAUGUUUUGUUCAGGGACCAGUUGUUUUUUGUCUCUCUGCAGGUGGAGCAGUUGUUCUGUUUGGGUUUGAGGAGUCGCUCUGAGUGUUUAAAGCUCCUGGAGAUGUGUGGCUGGAAUCUGGAGAUGGCCAGCACUCAGAUGUUAGAUGAUUAUGGAUCCACAACMAAACAAAGAUGGUGACAGGAAGCUAAAGCUCUGGUUGGAUCAUCAGUUAAACUUCAUCAGACAGAAGAUUUUCUCCUGACCUGCUCUGUUUGCUGCUGCUUUCCUUUCAGCAGAACAUUUUACUCUGACACAUGUAGACACAAGCACAAGUUGAACUUAAAUCAGACCCAUUUGUCAAACGGUACGAACGUGUGGCAGAAAAAUAAAGACUUUGGGUCAUAGUUGGA